Long non-coding RNA from Callorhinus ursinus (northern fur seal), 390 nucleotides. RefSeq lists it as uncharacterized. NCBI's taxonomy places the organism in Eukaryota, Metazoa, Chordata, Mammalia, Carnivora, Otariidae. The record is from RefSeq and is a predicted model, not a curated record.
AACCAACUAGCUCGGGCCUCAGAGGGGAGGGAGUGUUCCCUGGAGAAGCUGGGAGAGGAGGGUGUGACCUUUGCUCAGUUGUAGGGAUUCCCCAGGACUCCCUGCGAGUCCGACCACACCCAGCUGCCGCCUCUGCUGGCACCGUCCGCUCUGGAGUGGCCUAGGGAGGAAGGAGGCGAACUCGUGCAUACUGAGUGCCAGGAACCGUACCAGGUGUUUGAUAGAAUUUGCAUCAAUAUUCACAACAGCCCUACUGCUAAUGAUGAUCCUGAUGACAGACUCAGCCCUUUAAGAGCAAAGGAGGACAUCUUCAGAAUCCAGACCCCUAACUCGCCAUAGGCAACCACUUCCUGAAAAUACUUCGUGGAGUCUUUUUUUGCAAGAACCUCC